AUUUGAGAGCUUGCUCUCAAAUGUUAGCGGCGGACGGGUGAGUAACACGUGGGCAACCUGCCUAUAAGACUGGGAUAACUUCGGGAAACCGGAGCUAAUACCGGAUAAUUCAUAUCUACUCAUGUAGAUAUGCUGAAAGACGGUUUACGCUGUCACUUAUAGAUGGGCCCGCGGCGCAUUAGCUAGUUGGUGAGGUAAUGGCUCACCAAGGCAACGAUGCGUAGCCGACCUGAGAGGGUGAUCGGCCACACUGGGACUGAGACACGGCCCAGACUCCUACGGGAGGCAGCAGUAGGGAAUCUUCCGCAAUGGACGAAAGUCUGACGGAGCAACGCCGCGUGAGUGAUGAAGGUUUUCGGA
RNAcentral lists this ribosomal RNA (360 nucleotides) under uncultured bacterium. RNAcentral's name for it is "bacterial SSU rRNA". It matches the Rfam family "Bacterial small subunit ribosomal RNA", at positions 70 to 422 of the family's 1533-position model. The record is from RNAcentral.